Molecule: ribosomal RNA, 286 nt
Filed under: Streptomyces sp. qau-77
Lineage: Bacteria; Bacillati; Actinomycetota; Actinomycetes; Kitasatosporales; Streptomycetaceae
Description: partial 16S ribosomal RNA
Rfam family: Bacterial small subunit ribosomal RNA
Source: RNAcentral
CAGCAGCCCGCGGUAAUACGUAGGGCGCAAGCGUUGUCCGGGUAUUAUUGGGCGUAAAGAGCUCGUAGGCGGCUUGUCACGUCGGGUGUGAAAGCCCGGGGCUUAACCCCGGGUCUGCAUCCGAUACGGGCAGGCUAGAGUGUGGUAGGGGAGAUCGGAAUUCCUGGUGUAGCGGUGAAAUGCGCAGAUAUCAGGAGGAACACCGGUGGCGAAGGCGGAUCUCUGGGCCAUUACUGACGCUGAGGAGCGAAAGCGUGGGGAGCGAACAGGAUUAGAUACCCUGGUA